GUGGGGAAUUUUGGACAAUGGGCGCAAGCCUGAUCCAGCAAUGCCGCGUGCAGGAAGAAGGCCUUCGGGUUGUAAACUGCUUUUGUACGGAACGAAACGGCUCUGGUUAAUACCCGGGGCUAAUGACGGUACCGUAAGAAUAAGCACCGGCUAACUACGUGCCAGCAGCCGCGGUAAUACGUAGGGUGCAAGCGUUAAUCGGAAUUACUGGGCGUAAAGCGUGCGCAGGCGGUUUUGUAAGACAGGCGUGAAAUCCCCGGGCUCAACCUGGGAAUGGCGCUUGUGACUGCAAAGCUGGAGUGCGGCAGAGGGGGAUGGAAUUCCGCGUGUAGCAAUGAAAUGCGUAGAUAUGCGGAGGAACACCGAUGGCGAAGGCAAUCCCCUGGGCCUGCACUGACGCUCAUGCACGAAAGCGUGGGGAGCAAACAGGAUUAGAUACCCUUGUAGUC
Molecule: ribosomal RNA, 449 nt
Filed under: uncultured bacterium
Lineage: Bacteria
Description: partial 16S ribosomal RNA
Rfam family: Bacterial small subunit ribosomal RNA
Source: RNAcentral